GAUGAACGCUGGCGGCGUGCUUAACACAUGCAAGUCGAACGAUGAAGCCCAGCUUGCUGGGUGGAUUAGUGGCGAACGGGUGAGUAACACGUGAGCAACCUGCCCCUGACUCUGGGAUAAGCGCUGGAAACGGCGUCUAAUACUGGAUAUGUCCCGUCACCGCAUGGUGUGCGGGUGGAAAGAUUUUUCGGUUGGGGAUGGGCUCGCGGCCUAUCAGCUUGUUGGUGAGGUAAUGGCUCACCAAGGCGUCGACGGGUAGCCGGCCUGAGAGGGUGACCGGCCACACUGGGACUGAGACACGGCCCAGACUCCUACGGGAGGCAGCAGUGGGGAAUAUUGCACAAUGGGCGGAAGCCUGAUGCAGCAACGCCGCGUGAGGGAUGACGGCCUUCGGGUUGUAAACCUCUUUUAGCAGGGAAGAAGCGAAAGUGACGGUACCUGCAGAAAGAGCACCGGCUAACUACGU
Molecule: ribosomal RNA, 466 nt
Filed under: uncultured bacterium
Lineage: Bacteria
Description: partial 16S ribosomal RNA
Rfam family: Bacterial small subunit ribosomal RNA
Source: RNAcentral